Molecule: unclassified non-coding RNA, 149 nt
Filed under: uncultured Hyaloscyphaceae
Lineage: Eukaryota; Fungi; Ascomycota; Leotiomycetes; Helotiales
Description: sequence contains ITS2
Source: RNAcentral
CAACCCUCAAGCAAUGCUUGGUAUUUUGGGCUUCGCUACUCACUUAGCGGGCCUUAAAAUCAGUGGCGGUGCCGUCGGGGCUCUGAGCGUAGUAAAUAUCCUCGCUACAGAGACUUGGUGGACGCUGGCCAUUAACCCUCACUUUCUAA